This 777-nucleotide ribosomal RNA is filed under the name uncultured Neocallimastigales. RNAcentral describes it as "partial large subunit ribosomal RNA". It matches the Rfam family "Eukaryotic large subunit ribosomal RNA", at positions 22 to 646 of the family's 3401-position model. The record is from RNAcentral. Lineage: Eukaryota; Fungi; Neocallimastigomycota; Neocallimastigomycetes; Neocallimastigales.
UACACGCUGUGACUAGCAUAUCAAUAAGCGGAGGAAAAGAAACUAACAAGGAUUCCCCUAGUAACAGCGAGUGAAGCGGGAAGAGCUCAAAUUUGAAAUCUUAAAGGGUUUCCCUUUACGAAUUGUAGUUUAAAGAAGUGGUUUCUGUUGAGGUUUUGGUAAAAGUUCUUUGGAAUAGGACAUCAUAGAGGGUGAGAAUCCCGUAUUUGACCUUUACUUUCAACUUUGUGAUACACUUUCAAAGAGUCGGAUUGUUUGGGAAUGCAGUCCAAAAUGGGUGGUAAAUUUCAUCUAAAGCUAAAUAUUGGCGAGAGACCGAUAGCGAGCAAGUACCGUGAGGGAAAGAUGAAAAGAACUUUGAAAAGAGAGUUAAACAGUACGUGAAAUUGUCAAAAGGGAAGCGUUUGACACCAGUGUUGUUUUUCUGAAAAUCAAUUAAAGAACUGUUUAUGCUAAGUUGUUUAGACUUUAUCAGCUAACUGUUUAGUUUUGAGCUUUUCUUUAAUGCACUUUUCAGUUAACAAGUCAACAUCAAUUUCUUUUGCUGUAAAAAAGCUUGAGGAAGGUGGCUUGAGAUUCGUCUUAAGUGUUUAUAGCCUCUUGCCUAUGCAGUCGGAGAGAUUGAGGUCUGCAGCGUAGAUCCUUCGGGGCUAAAUGCAUUUGUGCUAAGUUAUAGCAUUUUAUAGACAAGCUUGUUGACUAUGAUUUGUCUUGUAGCUUACUCGGCUUAUAUGUUAUUUUACCUACGCUUAGGAUGUUGACGAGACUGUCGAUCUC